UUAAAAAAAAUACGAUUUUCUUUUUAUUUAACUGUUUUUUAGAUUGUUAAUACAUUACGUUAUUAAAAUUGCAUUAAAACUUGAAAAUAUGGGAAAUUAAUUUGAUAAAAUAGACAAGUUGAAUGAUGUUAAAAAGUUUUGACAGAGUGAAGUUGUAGAUUUUCCCGACGCCCAUCGCACUUUAAUGCCUGAUGUAAUAUGUGUAAUGGACUUUCGUUUAUAAUGGAAAAGAGAACGAGAGCAAAAAGCAAAAAGGGCGUCACGAUCGCGCGCUUUCCCCCAAAAAAAAACUAUGCCCUUAAAAAAAGCACAAAAAAAUGCGUCAGUUAUCCGUUGUAUUCGACUCGUUCGGAUUGCGUUUCCCGUUUAGAAUUUGCUCAACCAGAACGGAUUUGCGACGUACAAUUUAACGGUAUUGGUAUUUUAGAUUUGACAUCUUAUAAUUUGACGUUUUGAAAUUUGACGUUUCAAAAUUUGACGUUUCAACAAUUUAAUCAUAAAAUUCAAAUAAAAUUUAUGGGAUUUACAUAGUUUAAAUUGGAAUUUAGAAAAGUUAUAAAUAUAACAGUUAUAAAUUUUGAUUAGAGAAGUUUUGAGUUUAAAAUAUUCUGGUGGUGCGAAUGAGCAACAAAGGGUUGGUGGGUUUGUAGGAUGGGAGAUAUAAUAAAACCGGUAAAUCGUCAUUAAACCAAAUUUAAUUAAUGAAGUCGAUAUGAGGUGGUAUUCCCGUCGCGCCGGUCGUAAAUAUUUUAGCGCAGCCCGCACGGUCAUCUGGUCCCGCGGGUGAUCCUGCAGGAUACUCGGCUGGCCCCGGGACUACGGACCGUGAUCAACAAUUUAUGAACAGGCCGUGGAACCCAUGUCUCUGUUUCUGCCAAUUUAUUCGACAUAAAAUGUCCAAAAAAAGAAAUAAAAAUAUUAAAAAAACACCUCUACAUAUGUAUGUAUAAAUACACCAUACACGCGAUAAUAAUUUCAUGAAAAACUUUAAAUGAAGAUUUAUGGAAUUGCGUACAUAUUGGUAGAUAAAUUAUGAUUAUUUUUUCCAUGGAAAAUACAUAAUUAAUGUUAUGAAUUGUCAAUAGCAUGGAACAAUUUCCGAGUCGCUGAGCGAACGAGGACAAUUUAUAUUAAAAUGAUGAUAUAUUUUAUUCAUAACAAUAUUAUUGCUAACAAGUAUAUAUUGAUUAACCACACAUAUUCCAUUAUGUAUAUUUAUACAAAUUCUAACGGUUAUUACUAUCUACAAACAUUGUACCUAACAUAAUGCAUUUCGCCCCAUCAGAUUGACAUCCACUGAAUCGCCACCAGUACGCUUAUCAAACGGGAAAGUCAACAGAAUUGGCUCUGCACAGUUUGGAUGCUCCAGGAUAAAGAGGUGUUAAACAACGCAAUACCACAAUCUCUUGAAAGAGCUGCUCUUGACAGGGGAAUCCAAGAUCCGUAAUAUGUUUGAUACGAACUUAAAAAUUUAUUUCUCAACGUUUAAAUAUGUUGUGUCAAUUUUAAAUGUUUAAUAAUCGCUUCCACGUAAAAGUUAAACCGAUGGAAGUAAAAAGUUGUAAAUAAUUUUCUGUUUGUCCAUCACUUUGUUGCGAGGUCCAACCCGUCUGGUUAAAACUGGGGGGGAUGAGGUAAAACUAGACGAUGCCGGAGCUUGCAAAGCUCGUAAAAUCGCUGCCCCGGUGCUCUCUUAUUUGUUUUAUUCAAAAAGCGGCCGGUCCGACACGCUCGGCUGUUCCGUCCACGAUAAACUAUUGAUACUUGGACUUUGUGACGGCCUUUCGCUCGCAUAAUCGAAUUGCGGCCUCUAGAGCGGACUUCCGGUCCAACAGCUGCCCAACAACUGACGCGUAAGGACGCGAAUUUAUUGUAUUCGACCUUUUCUAGAAAUGAAUUUUCUAAGGGAGUUGAAAAGAAAUGUUUCUAAGAUUUUUUUUUUGAUAAAAAAAACAAGAUUAUUUAAGAUUCAGGGAUUUGGCUAACAAUGAAACCAAAAAAUAAAAACCCAAGUUCAAUAAAAGGAGAGUUUUCCAAAGAGUUGUGCCUUUUUAAAUAAAAUAAAAGCUAGACUAGUUUCUAGUUCUAGGUCUAGUGUUAGUUCUAGUUUUACACUAUCACUACAACUAAUGCUUAAACUUCAAUGUGACAUAAAUUCAAUAUUACCAACUGUAACCAACUUCACAACAAUUUGUCAAAAUUAACUGUCAAUUUAAUGAAACGUCAUGUUUUAAAAUAUGAACCCAAGUUAAAUAAAGACAGAGCAAAGUAGAGUGAAAAAGGAAGACUAUGAGAAAAUAUAUGCGAUUUGGAGCUCAGAAUUAAUAGCUAGAAUACAGUCAAAUCUAGGUGUAUUGUCACCGAGUAGCAGAGUAUAAGUCUAUAUAAAGACUACUUCAGUGGAUUAGCUCUAUAUCCAAUGUAAGUCAAAAAGAAUCUUCUGUAUCAGAUAGCUUUUAUUUGGUUUUUGACUGGCUUGGGUCUGGGUGAACUGGACUUUUCUUAGGUGGUUUGGGUAUUUUGGUCUGGCUUGGGUUGAGUAGUGAAUCAGUUCGGUUUGGUUUGGGUGUAGAAGAGUUAGAUUUGUUUUAAUUGUGGAUCAGAUUGAUUCUGUAUGGUGUGCGACUUUGGUUAUUUUUGAACUAGGCUGCGCUUAGGCGAUUUGAGUCUGGAUGCGUUAGAUUUGGUCAAGGAUUAAUUGAGGUUGCUUUGUAUACGCAAAGGUUGAACUUGAUUUGGCUGUGAAUCAGGUGAUUGAUACUGAUUUGGGUAUAGGAGCUUUAGUUAACCGAUUUGGGUUGGGCACGAUAUAAGUGUGAUGGUUUGGAUGAGUAGGAUUUAACCUGGUUUGAGUUAGAAUUAAGAUGUACAUUGUACGGCGUUUUUUGUAGGCGACCGUAUUGAAUGUCUUCUGCAGCUGUCAGCUAAAUUCAUAUAUUUAUCCAUCUGAAUUUAGCCAAGGCCUAAUUAAACGUUGCAAUAUGUUUCUGUCUCUUCUUAGCAGGUCUUCUUCAAUAUUGUAUCAAUGAAUCCACUAAUGCAACAACUGCUAAACAAAUGGGAGUACUCGUAGAGACUUCUCUGAAAUGGAAUGCACAGCUACAUGAAGUUGGAAAGAAACUCAAUUCAGUAGUUUUCCAGUUAAGAACAGUGAUGAGAUUGACAGAUCAACAUACAGCAAUGGGAAAUUCCUCAGGAGUUGAACGACUAUUUAUAAUACAAAAAAGAGCAGUUAGAGCGUUGAUGAAUGCAAAUCAAAUGGAGAGGUGUAAACCAUUGUUUAAAGAAUUAAAAAUAAUGACUGUUGCUGUAUACCUAUAAUAGCUCUAUAAAUAACAGCAGAUGAAAACAAAAUGGGUCGAAUUAGAAACAAAACUAUAAGAGACGAUUUAGAAUAAAUACUGCUAGUAACUGAAAUAGGAAACAAACAACUGAGCUGGUCUCGACACCUAGUCGGAAUGGCAGAAGAGAGAAUUUCCAAAAUAGUUGGAAAAUGAAGAAGAGGGAGGCCAAGGAUAAAAUGGGAGAAUGGAGUGGAGGAGAUGGUGCGCAAGAAAUGAAGAAUAUGGCAUGAAACAUACGUAGUGCGGGGCUAAUGGUUUGAUAGUAGCGAGAGGAAGUUUUAGGAAAACCAAUGUCUUCAACAACAAAAUUUUAUUUACAACAAUAAUAACAAUAAUGUAAGUGCGGACGCGAAAAGGGUAACUGCUGACUGAUCUGCCGAUGGGAACUGCUAACUGAUAAGUGAUGGUAACUGGUGGUAACUGAACUCUCCGGGCCGAUCCUGGUUCCUUUUAUCCCCGAGUCCAGUAACAUCCCCGGUGAAAGUUCUCUUCGAGUCCUUAUCUGGACCAAAAGGAUCUGCUGUCCAGAUGUACGGAGAGAGUUCUUCUGAAUUGUUUCGAACGCUUUCUGGCGUCCAGAUGUUCGCCACGGAGAGCGUCCAGUAAUAUCUCCGGUGAAAGUUUUCCGGGAACCCUUUGCCUGGACCAAAAGGGUGUCCUGCCCAGAUGACCGGAGAGAGAUUUUUUUGAACGGUUUAAAAAGUUCUCUGGCGUCCAGAUGUUCGCCACAGUAGUUUUAAAAGAUGGAUAGAGGAACCCAACAACACCUCAACGCUAUGAUGGCAUCUAGGGGAAAUGAAAAAGAAGAGAUAAUCCAUAUCCAGCAACCACCUUUAUCCACAAUCAGCAUCAAAACCCCACCAUAUAUCCAGAACUAUUCCAAAAACUAUUCCAAUGUCAAAAGUAUUCCAAGUAAUAUUACGACAUAAAUUUGAUAAUCAAAUUUGAAAAAUAAUAAAUAUAAAAUAAUAUGUAUAGAAAACGAUAAUUUCAUUAAAGUUUUUCGAUAAACAGCA
RNAcentral lists this long non-coding RNA (4360 nucleotides) under Onthophagus taurus. RNAcentral's name for it is "uncharacterized LOC111424031, transcript variant X2". The record is from RNAcentral. Lineage: Eukaryota; Metazoa; Arthropoda; Insecta; Coleoptera; Scarabaeidae.